This 966-nucleotide ribosomal RNA is filed under the name Meloidogyne hapla. Its description in RNAcentral is "SSU rRNA". It matches the Rfam family "Eukaryotic small subunit ribosomal RNA", at positions 55 to 1036 of the family's 1831-position model. The record is from RNAcentral. Lineage: Eukaryota; Metazoa; Nematoda; Chromadorea; Rhabditida; Meloidogynidae.
AUGUAUAAGUUUAAUCGCUUAUCGAGAAACCGCGAACGGCUCAUUACAAUGGCCAUUAUUUACUUGAUCUUGAUUGUCUAAAUGGAUAACUGUGGAAAAGCUAGGGCUAAUACAUGCACUAAAGCUUUGUCCUUACGGAAAAGCGCAUUUAUUAGAACAAAACCACGCGGCUUCGGCUGCUUCUUGUUGACUCAGAAUAACUUAGCUGACCGCAUGGCCUUGUGCCGGCGGCGUGUCUUUCAAGCGUCCACUUUAUCAACUUGACGGGAGCAUAAUCGACUCCCGUGGUGGUGACGGAUAACGGAGGAUCAGGGGUUCGACUCCGGAGAAGGGGCCUGAGAAAUGGCCACUACGUCUAAGGAUGGCAGCAGGCGCGCAAAUUACCCACUCUCGGCUCGAGGAGGUAGUGACGAGAAAUAACGAGACUGUUCUCUUUGAGGCCGGUCAUCGGAAUGGGUACAAUUUAAACCCUUUAACGAGUAUCAAGCAGAGGGCAAGUCUGGUGCCAGCAGCCGCGGUAAUUCCAGCUCUGCAAAUACAUAGAAUUAUUGCUGCGGUUAGAAAGCUCAUAGUUGGAUUCGUAUCGAUACCUUGGUACCCUUCGGGUGUCUCUAGGUGUUAUCGAUUUAUCGUAAUGUUCGGUUUUGAGUCCUUAACAGGAUUCUUAACAGGCAUUGCAAGUUUACUUUGAACAAAUCAGAGUGCUUCAAACAGGCAUUUUCGCUUGAAUGAUCGUGCAUGGAAUAAUAGAAAAUGAUUUCGGUUCAGUUUUAUUGGUUUUACGGACUGAGAUAAUGGUUAACAGAGACAAACGGGGGCAUUUGUAUGGUCCCGUGAGAGGUGAAAUUCUUGGACCGUGGCCAGACAAACUACAGCGAAAGCAUUUGCCAAGAAUGUUUUUAUUAAUCAAGAACGAAAGUCAGAGGUUCGAAGGCGAUCAGAUACCGCCCUAGUUCUAACCGUAAA